This 24-nucleotide non-coding RNA is filed under the name Rattus norvegicus (Norway rat). Lineage: Eukaryota; Metazoa; Chordata; Mammalia; Rodentia; Muridae. The record is from RNAcentral.
UGGGGUUUGUCUGCAGACACCAGG